GAUUUGAGAAAGACGGUCAGAGGGUUUUAGAAAAUUUCAAGUAUGCCGUUGCAGCAAACAAGCUUUGAAUGGAAAAACCAGGGGUUUUCAAUUCAACACGGUGAAAUCAGUCUGAAGUGUACUUUGUAUGGCCGUCUCAUUUUUCCACAAACAUCCUCGAAGAGUUUCCAGCAUAAAUAGCCACAGCGAACUGAUUCCUGAACUUGCAGGGCAGUCUAUGCUGGCUGUGCACAGAGACUUUAAAGUGAGGCAAUUUCAACUCUGCAAGGACAGUCUGGAGCUUUUUGACUCGCAACCUUUAAUGCAAUGCAUAGUGGAAUGGCGCAUGAACCUGACCUGACACAAGCUGGCAGCCCUAUAGAGCCUCAAUGAGUUCAACAAGCAUGAAGAUUGAGGGAGGCCAUGGGAUUGUUACUUUCCAUCAUGAAUGGUUCAGUAAACCUACAACUCCAAUAUUCAUCUGUUGGCUCGGGAUGGGUUGGUAUACUGGUAUUUGAACUAUUUCUGCAGGGGUUUUGAGCCCCGAAGUAGACAUGGUGAUGGGAAAAAAAUUAUAUGGAAGGGAAAACUCAGCAAAAACUCCUGUGUUCCUCUGACAAAAUGUGGGAUCACUUAUUAAACAUUUGCUUUUCCACAAGAAAUUUUGCGUUUUCUCACAAAACAUUUGUGUUCUAUGGAGCCCUGCACAUAACAUGAAGGGAAAAAAAUCCCCACUUCCUGUCUACGUUAGUGCUGCAAUUAGUUAGUGCUCAUGAAAUAUUUGAGUUCUUUUACAAAAAUAUUGUUUCCUCGAUAGACUUUUCCUGAAACAAUAUAUAUAUAUAUUUGUAUUACCUCAUAUUUCUAUCAUAAGUUUCUCAGGAAAAUGCAUAUGUUUUUUUGAGUGGAUGCAAAAUUUCCUAUCUGUAAACAGCAUAGAAAAAAUAUGGAAAAAAAAAAAUCCCUUUAUGGGCUCUAUAGUUUCAGAAUAAAUAUCUGCAAAAAAAAUGUAUUUUAUUUAUUGCUUUCUUAUUAAUCAAAGACAAAAGAAUCAAGUGAUCUUUCUGCCCUCAGGUUGUUCCAAACCUGUUUGACUUAAUUUCUUGUUUAAACGGUUUUCAAAGUUUUUCCCAGUAUUCUUUCUUUCUCCUCACUUUUACUCUACUCUACUUCUCUCAGAGGCCUGUCUCCACUGAGUCUGUCCCAGCCCUGUAUCUCUUCAGCAGCGCUCUAGUUUCUGCCUCUUGCCCCCAAAUCUAGGACUCUCUUUUGUCAUCUGUCAACAGGCCAAGAACAAUUAAUGAAAUUCAAAGCAUCUAAGUCAUCUGUUGAAUUUAGUGACUUGACUUAACCGUGAAAAACUGCACUUUAAACAACUUUAAACACUUCUCUUAAGCUGCCUGAUCCCAAUAUCUUCUCAUGUUGCCCGACUCUGGUCAGUGUUAAAUACUCUUCAGUACCAAGGACAGCAGCACGACAGCUGCCCAAAACCUCAAGACAAGAUUUCGUUUUUUUCUAAAAAUGUAUUUUUUUUCAAAAAAUGGCUACAAUAAAUCCGCACAACCAAUUAAAAAUUUUAAUAAUAAACAACAAAUGUUAAGUCAGUGGACCUCUAUCAAAUCAUGGCAAAAGCCUACUUUUAAAAAAAACGCUAGUGUUAUUUUAUUAUCA
Molecule: long non-coding RNA, 1650 nt
Organism: Puntigrus tetrazona (Sumatra barb)
Lineage: Eukaryota; Metazoa; Chordata; Actinopteri; Cypriniformes; Cyprinidae
Exons: 3
Source: RefSeq, a predicted model, not a curated record